AGGACACACGCGCUUCAUGAGUGGACGUCUCCAUUUUGUCAGAGGUAAUGGAAGAUCCCUCAACUUAAAUUCACCUGAUCAGCAUGGGAUUGAAGUUGCAGGCUAUCAUAGCCAAGUCACCAAGCAAUCCUAGCAAUAACAUAACCAGAAAUCUGGUUAUUCAGUGCUUGAUGGUGUACCUUGGGGAGUCCAUUGAUCAACUGAUCAAAGAGUACAGUGAUGCUGAUGAGGAUGGUGUGUCACAAGAUCUUUUCUGAACAGAGGAUGAAAAUCUACAAAAUCAAGGCUGUUGGAUCUGAGGAGGAUGACAUUGGCAUUGUGCUGGAGGGUGUGAGAGUUAUGCCUGCUCUGGGCAAUUUUCCAAGAGCAUGCGCAAUGCUGGUUGGAUUGACAUAUGCAGUCGAUCUUGCCUAUCCCAAAGAGCUAAAAUACACCUUGGAAGUAUUCCAGAAACUUUUCCUUGAACUGGAUUGUGCUAAGCUCUCACCAAAAGUGAACAACCUCAAGAACAAGUUAUUGGCUUAAACGAGGACUCUGAAAGAAUGAAAGGGAAGUAAGCUCACUGAAAACCUUUGGUUUGUCUUUGUUAGAUGCAGCUAUCUUUUCAGUUUUUAAGUUAAUUUCAUCUUAUUCAUAUCUUACCCAAAUGACCUGCAAUGUGUCAGGCUGUAUUUGUGC
Molecule: long non-coding RNA, 678 nt
Organism: Astatotilapia calliptera (eastern happy)
Lineage: Eukaryota; Metazoa; Chordata; Actinopteri; Cichliformes; Cichlidae
Source: Ensembl